UGCUAGUUUUUAAAUGUUUCAGAAGUAUCCUUCGGUUUGCUGUUUCUCUAUAUUCUCUGUUUCAUUUAUUUUCUGUCUUCUGAUUAGGCUUAGUUGCUUUAUGUUUCCAGUUUCUCAAGGUGAAAGAUUACAAUACUCAUUCCAGACAGCUAUUUCCAUGAGGUCUCUAGCCCAGGCUGGAUUGGAACUCCCUAUUUUUCAAGAAUUAUCUUGAAUUCUGCAUCUCCUGCUUUCACGUCCAGAGUUCUAGGGUUACAGGCAUAAGUCACCAAAACAGGCCUCAGAGGUGCUGGGGGGCAAAUUCCGUGCCCCUUGCACAGCAGACAACUAUUCUCCCAGCUCAACUAUAUCCCUGUCUCUGUUCUUUUUUAAAUGUAGGCAUUUGGAGCAACAUAUUUCUAUGUAAGAAAGAUGAGCUGCAUUCUAGAUUUUAGUAUGUUGUACUUUUUAUUUCACAUUUACUUCAGAGUAUUUCCUCAUUUCUUUGAGUUUUUAAAAAAACAUUAUUUACUUUGGAGUGUGCUAUUUGAUUUUCAUGCAUUUACAGAUUUCUAAAAUAUUCGUGAUUUUUAAAGAAGACUUACUUACGAAUGCGUGCAUGUGCCUUUUGAUGGAGUGCUUCUUUCAUUUACUUUUAAAACAAUUCCUGAUAACAGAAUUUAUGUCUGUGCCUGCAUAGGUCAGCCGAGGAUGUCAGACCUCUGGUCACUGCAGUCACAGACACUGUCGGCCACUACGAGGGCGCUGGGAACUGAACCUGGAUCUUCUGCAAGAGCAACAAGUGCUCUUAAUGACUGAGCCAUCUCUCCAGAACCUCAGUGUUGUUUUUUUAAAUAUAUUUUAAAUAUAAAGUUAAAUAUAUUGAGUGUCACUAUCUCUUGUGGUUGCCCUGGGGAUUUCAAUUAACUGCACAGAAAAAAAAAUCAAGUUCAGGUUAAUAGUAAUCUAAUUCAACGGUCAUAUAAAAAUUUGCUUCAGUAUAACUGUUGAUCUGAUUUGUAUGGAUUUAAAUCGCUGUCUGUAUCAGGCUUAAAGGGAUCUAUUAGUGUUCAAUGGGGGAUGUCCUUCUGUAUGCUGUGAAUAUGUGCUUCUCUUAUUGGUUUAAUAAAAUGCUGAUUGGCCAGUAGCCAGGCAGGAAGUAUUGGCAGGGCUACCAGACUAGGAGAAUAGCCACCAGAGAGACACCAUGUAGCCACCAAAAGAGUAACAUGCCUGAGCAUUAUGGAUACGCCACAGCUUUGUGGCAAUAUAUAAUUUAAUAAUUAAGAGAGAGCUAGCCAAUAAGAAGACUGAACCAUCAGCCAAACAUGAUUUAUGUAAGCCUCUGUGUGUUUAUUUGGGACUAAACAGCUGUGAGACCAGGCGGGACAGAACUUCUGUCAACACCUUUCAGCAUAUAUAAUGCAUUAUCCACUACCUUCUUGCCUACAGAUGAUGUGAUAGUUUACUUUUUGUUGUUUUCAAGAAUAUUUCUUUAGAGUAUGCCUUAGUAUGGGUCUUUGGGUUUAUCCCAUUUGAAGUUUGCAGAUUGUCUUGGAUGUAGUCAUAAAAUUUGGGUGGUUUUAGCAAUGACUUACACAUUAUUUCUGCUUUUAUCCAUCCUAAAAUUUGUAUUAUCAAUACAUUGAUAUCCUUGGUGGUAUCUCCACAGGUCUCUGAGACCCCAGACUAUUACUUUUCUUUUUUCUAUAACUUAAGACUAGAUACCUUCUGAUGGAAGCAGAAGCAGCUAAGCACUGAGUUGAACUACUGGAAUACAGUUGUAUGGAGAGAGGAGUGAUGAGCAAAGAGGUCUGAGGCCUGAACUGAAGGAUGCAUACAUGCUGGGAGUUACUAUUACUGGGCUGCAUUCCUACCUCUAUCUGAUUGAAAAAUGACUCUAUUUAUUAGUUUCUUUUAAGACUUUGAAUAUUGAGAUGGCUGAUUUACAGUCUCUAUCUACUAAAUCCAGUAUCUGGCACCUUAGACAUAUUUUCUCUUUUGGUAAGUAUAUAUAGUACACUUCUGUUUCUCUAUAUGACCUGUAAAUUUUGUUGAAAAUGAACAUUUUGGGUAACACAACAACUAAAAUGUAUAUUUAUCAUGACCUCCCUCCCAAAGUUAGUUGUUUAUGCUGUACUGUUGUUUAUUUAUUGACUGUAUUUGGCACUGCAUUUGCUAUGACAAAAUGCCCAGCAAAAAAACUUAAGGAAGAAUACUUUUAUACAGAUGUAAAAAUUCUCAGUAAAUAAAUCAUAUACCAUGA
This is a long non-coding RNA of Mesocricetus auratus (golden hamster), 2245 nucleotides long. RefSeq lists it as uncharacterized. The transcript has 2 exons. The record is from RefSeq and is a predicted model, not a curated record. NCBI's taxonomy places the organism in Eukaryota, Metazoa, Chordata, Mammalia, Rodentia, Cricetidae.